This 620-nucleotide long non-coding RNA is filed under the name Homo sapiens (human). RNAcentral's name for it is "novel transcript". Lineage: Eukaryota; Metazoa; Chordata; Mammalia; Primates; Hominidae. The record is from RNAcentral.
AUAGCCUUAAGCUUAUUAUGAAGCAGUGGGAAAAUCACCUGAGAGCAGGAAGUCCUGCGUAGCUAAAAACUGAAUGUAGAUGUAGGGAAUUGCCCUCCUACGAACUAAGUAAAAACAGAUUCGAAACUUUAUCCUAAUUGGAAUUAAACUACUGCAUUUUAAGUCAAAGGUGUGGAGGUAAAUGAACAACCAAAUGAGACCAAGGAAAGGCUAUUAUUCAGAGCUUGCGAUAGCAAAGGAAUCCUCCACCCCACCACACCACUAGCAUUUUGACGGAAACAUAAAGAUUCUGUGGAUGAAUAAUUCAGAAACGUUCCAGUUGGAUGGACUGAUUCAGGGUCUCUCAUGAUGCUGCAGCCAAGAAAAAUAAAGAGAUAGAAUAUGGACACUUGGGAAAUAAUAAGAAAAGUGAGACAGCACUGCUACUGAUUUAAAGUCAGAAAAAGACCACUCCUGGGAGAAACACAAGUUACAUGGUAUUGCUCUUCUCACAUGAACCAUCUCCACAACCAACGUGCCCUGAAUCCCAGUGCUUGGCCAACCCCAUCACUAGUAAUCAACCAUCAUCCCAAGAAGCGAACAUAAUCAGAAGCUAAAUCAAAUAAAUAUGUCUUACUCUC